This 934-nucleotide non-coding RNA is filed under the name Scutiger liupanensis (Liupan alpine toad). RNAcentral describes it as "12S ribosomal RNA". It matches the Rfam family "Bacterial small subunit ribosomal RNA". Lineage: Eukaryota; Metazoa; Chordata; Amphibia; Anura; Megophryidae. The record is from RNAcentral.
CAAAGGUCUGGUCCUAGCCUUAUUAUCAGCUCUAACUAAACUUACACAUGCAAGUCUCUUCGCUCUAGUGAAAAUACCCUUGAUCAUCCACUCAGAAGAAAAGGAGUCGGUAUCAGGCUCAAAUAGCCCAAGACACCUAGCAAAGCCACACCCCCAAGGGGACCCAGCAGUGAUAAAUAUUAAACAUUAGCGUAAGCUAGAUUUAGUCACAGUUAAGAUAGUCGGUUAAUUUCGUGCCAGCCACCGCGGUUAUACGAGAGACUUAAACUGAUAACCAUCGGCGUAAAGUGUGAUUAAGGAAGCAACCACUAAAGUUAAACUCCGGCCCAACUGUUAUACGCCCGCGCCAUCGAGAAACCCAUUAACGAAAGUAACUUUAUUUUUCCUGAACUCACGGUAGCCAAGACACAAACUAGGAUUAGAUACCCUACUAUGCUCGGCCUCAAACUUUAACUAAUUACUUCUACAUUCGCCAGGGAACUACAAGCCAUAGCUUAAAACCCAAAGGACUUGGCGGUGCUCUACACCACCUAGAGGAGCCUGUUCUAUAAUCGAUAUUCCACGAUUUACCCCAUCACUUCUUGCCAAAACCGCCUAUAUACCGCCGUCGCCAACUCACCCUUUGAAGGAAACACAGUGGGUUUAAGGAUCGAACACCAAAACGUCAGGUCAAGGUGUAGCUUAUGAAGUGGAAAGAAAUUGGCUACAUUUUCUAUAUUAGACCACACGAAUUAUCAGUAUGAAACCUGAUAUGAAGGAGGAUUUAGCAGUAAAAAGAAAUCAGCAAGUUCUUUUUAAGAUGGCCCUAGAGCGCGCACACACCGCCCGUCACCCUCUUCCACUCAUUUUAUUAAUAUACAUAAUAAAUUUACCAAAGAUCAGAAGAGGAAAGUCGUAACAUGGUAAGUAUACCGGAAGGUGUACUUGGAACAGA